RNAcentral lists this ribosomal RNA (301 nucleotides) under uncultured bacterium. RNAcentral describes it as "partial 16S ribosomal RNA". It matches the Rfam family "Bacterial small subunit ribosomal RNA", at positions 509 to 807 of the family's 1533-position model. The record is from RNAcentral.
CAGUAGCCGCGGUAAGAUAGAGGAUGCAAGCAUUAUCCGGAAUGAUUGGGCGUAAAGCGUCUGUAGGUGGCUUUACAAGUAUGCCGUCAAAUCCCAGGGCUCAACCCUAGACAGGCAGUGGAAACUACCAAGCUGGAGUACGGUAGGGGCAGAGGGAAUUUCUGGUGGAGCGGUGAAAUGCGUUGAGAUCGGAAAGAACACCAACGGUGAAAGCACUCUGCUGGGCCGACACUGACACUCAUAGACGAAAGCUAGGGGAGCAAAUGGGAUUAGAUACCCCCGUAGUCCCUGUCUCUUAUAC